CUGCCUCAGCCUCCCGAGUAGCUGGGACUACAGGCGCCCACCACCACGCCCGGCUAAUUUUUUGUAUUUUUAGUAGAGAUGGGGUUUCACCGUCUUAGCCAGGAUGGCCUCAAUCUCCUGACCUCGUGAUCCACCUGCCUCGGCCUCCCAAAGUGCUGCAAUUACAAGCGUGAGCCACCACGCCUGGCCUAUAAUGUGCUUUUGACCGGUGCAUAUUAUUCUAUUGUAUUCAUAUGCCAAAGCUUAUCUUUUCCUCUAGUCACAAAUACUUAUAUUUUUCCUAGCUAUUUCCACUUCUGCAAGCUUAUACAUGUCUUCCUAUGAAGGAAGAAUGCCCUUUCAGGAAACCUGCCCUUUCAUUUCUUUGCUAUAUAUGUCCUAGAGUAGAAAGGCUGGAGUUUGAGGUAUAUGCAUAUUUAAUUUAAGUCAUGCUGGAUCGUUCUCAGGAAUGGUUGUCACAGUUUUCCUUUCCACAAGCAAGACCUGAGGGUUUCAUUUUCUCUUCAUUUUCAGUAGCACUUGAUAUUUUCUGAUUUUUGCUAAUCUGAUGUGUAUAAAAUUGUAUUUUUUCUUAAUCUGCAUUAUCUGAUUACUGAUGAAGGUGAGUAUUUGCUUUUUAGUCAUUCCGAUUUUCCAUUCUGUGGAUGGUCUGUACUUAUAAUUUGUCUCUUUUCUAUUAAGUUUUUCUUUCUUGCUGAUUACAGUAUAGUAUAUACAGUGUGUGCAUGUGUGUGUAUAUAUAUGUGUGUGUAUAUAUAUGUGUAUAUAUAUGUGUGUGUGUAUAUAUAUGUGUAUAUAUGUGUGUGUGUGUGUGUAUAUAUAUAUAUAUAUUUUUUUUUUUUUUUUUUUGACACAAGGUCUGGCUCUGUCGCCCAGACUGGAGUGCAGUGGUGUGAUCUCACCUCACUGCAACCUCUACCUCCUGAGCUCAAACCAUCCUCCCACCUCAGCCUCCCAAGUUGCUGGGACUAAAGGCGCGUACCACCACGCUUGGCUAAUUUUUGUGUUUUUUUGUAGAGAUGGGGUUUCUCCAUGUUGCCUAAGCUGGUCUCGAACUCGUGAGCUCAGGAGAUCUGCCUGCCUCUCUGCCCCCAAAGUGGUGGGAUUACAGGUGUGAGCCACUGCUCCCAGCCAAGAAAUUCUUUAUAUGUAGAUACUAUUUUCUUGUCAAGUUCAGAUGUUGGAAAUAACUUGCCAUUUGUUCAUUCUUGUCUUUGUUGUUUUUCAUAUAAUAGAAAUCCCCCCAAUGUUUUAUAUCUUUUAUGUCUUUAUUUUGUUUUGUUUUGUUUUUGAGAUGGAGUUUCCCUCUUGUUGCCCAGGCUGGAGUGCAGUGGCACAGUCUUGGCUCACUGUAACCUCCGCCUCCCGGGUUCAAGCGAUUCUCCUGCCUCAGCCUCCUGAGUACCUGGAACUACAGGCAUAUGCCACCACACCUAGCUAAUUUUUUUUGUAUUUUUAGUAGAGACAGGAUUUCGCCAUGUUGGCCAGGCUGGUCUCGAACUCCUGACCUCAGGUGGGCGGAUCGCGAGGUCAGGAAAUUGAGACCAUCCUGGCUAACACGGUGAAACCCAGUCUCUACUAAAAACACACACACACACAAAAAUUAGCCGGGCGUGGUGGUGGGCACCUGUAGUCCCACCUACUCGGGAGGCUGAGGCAGGAGAAUGGCGUGAACCCGGGAGGCGGAGCUGGCAGUGAGCUGAGAUCGCGCCACUGCACUCCAGCCUGGGUGACAGAGCGAGACUCCGUCUCAAAAAAAAAAAGAAUAUUUACUUUAUACAAAUUAAUCGGUAGUUUGAAAUUAACUGGGAAAUAUGUCUUAAUGGGAUAUGAGCAAGGAAUGGAGGAUAUUACAAAAUAGAAGAGCCAUAAUUUCAGGAAGAAAAAUGUUAGCAAACUUAAUAACAAGCAUGUAUAUUUCAACAAGUCUGUGUAUUUCAUCUUAUUUUUCUCAUUUUGCCACAGAUCCUCAUAGGGCCUUAAAUUGAGAUGGGCAUUUGGAAACUUCUGCUUUAAAACUUAGGAAGAUUCCUAAGUGUCUUCUGACAAAAGCUGAUAGAUUUAUAAUAGUGUAGUUUUAUGUAUUUUUUGUAGUCUAUGGUACUUUUAUUUGAAAUUCUUUGAAAAUUGGUCAUUCAUGUAUGAUAUACAUGACAACUAAACUCAUUAAUUGGAAAAGCCCACUCUUUAACCAUUGUCUUAAUGAUUAAAUGUGUUUUUCCAUUUGUAUGUGAAAAUAUACAAACUUUUAAAACAAUGAAAAUGAGUUUCUUAAUAUGAAUGGUAAACAUUAAAACUUGUUAAUAUUCAUUAAGUUCAAAAUGGAUCAAAAUUUUUCAUAUAUUUCUGAGACUUGAAAAUGAAAAGAUUAAGAAUGACUGGUAAACUAAUAAAGGUUAUUGUGAACACCAGAUUAAGGAAUCUCUGUAUUUUCCCUUUUCUAACGGUAUUUUCCAGGGCAGAACAUUUCACUUCUUACAACAUUGUUAAAUGUGGAGUGAGACCCCUGUUUGAAUUCCAGUUCUGUCACUUUCCAGUUUUUUUUUGUUUUUUUAAAUUGAGACGGGGUCUGACUGUGUCGUCUAGGCUGGACUGCAGUGGUUCACUGCAACCUCUGCCUCCUGAGCUCAAGCCAUCCUCCCACCUCAGCCUCUGAAGUAGCUGGGACUACAGACACACACCACCACAUCUGGCUAAUUUUUGUGUGUGUGUGUGUGUAUUUUUUGUAGAGAUAUGGUUUUGCCAUGUUGCCAAGCUGGUCUCAAACUCCUGAGCUCAAGCAGUCCACCCACCUCAGCCUCCUGAAGUGCUGGGAUUACAGGUUUGAGCCACCCUGCCCAGCCUGUAGUUUCCUUAGAGAAUUUAACCUGUGUAUCUCAGUUUCUUCAUCUGCAAAAUGGGGAUAAUAAUCAUACCUACUUGAUUAAGUUGUUGAGAGGAGUAAGCAAUGCUGUGUAUUGUGCAUUUAGAGCACUUGGCAUAUAGUAAGGACUCAAUAUAAACUCUUGUUAAAAGUGAUAAGCACUUUUUAAUAACCAUAUUAACAAGAUGCAGUUUUCAAUCAGGAGCUAUCUUUAAAGACUAAAGCCCUGCUAAGGGGAUCAGGUGGAACAGUGUCUAGGAAUAGGGAUAUUCUUGAAUAGCAGCCUGUUAGAAGAAUAGGAAAGUCUCUUUGGGAGGCCGAGGCAGGUGGAUCACAAGGUCAGGAGAUCGAGACCAUCCUGGCUAACACAGUGAAACCCCGUCUCUACUAAAAAUACAAAAAAUUAGCCAGGCAUGGUGGCACGCGCCUGUAGUCUCAGCUACUCAGGAGGCUGAGGCAGGAGAAUGGCGUGAACCCGGGAGGUGGAGCUUGCAGUGAGCCGAGAUUGCGUCACUGCACUCCAGUCUGGGCAAGAGAGCGAGACUCCAUCUCAAAAAUAAGUAAAUAAAUAAAAUAAGAAAGUUUCUGUUUCUAGCACAGGUGCUGAGAGACAAAGGGGAAAAAUAUUGUUCAACAUUAAGCAGUCAGUAGAAGCUUGAUAGGCUUGGGGAAAAAAUUCAACAGUCAAGAUAUUGCGGUGUUAGGUAUGGAACUGCCACACACAUAUUCACAUAAGGGGUGACACCAUGUAGGACUUGUAGUCUCAACACUUGGCAUCUCAAUUUAGGAGAAUAUUAUAAACAGGGGCCUCUACUUUUGGUAGUAAAAAGCUCCGUGCUGGAACAUAACUAUCGGAGACACUUGGAACAUGAACAUGGCCUCUAACACAUACCCUUUUAAUUUCUUACAGACCUUGAAAUAGACAAAAAAAUGUUUAUUGAUACCUCUUACUUUUCCACAUUUUGUUGUUUUGUACAACCCUAUGCCUUGUCAUGGAGAAAGAGAUGUUUAAUUUUAAAUCUCGUUCUCAGGUAAUAUUUGGUAGUAGCUGGAGUCUCAAAGGCAUUUAAAUUUCUUUUUAUUGCCUUUUAUUCAUAAACAUUUAACCGUAUUUUUUUAGUAUGAAUGGGGUUCCUUUUUAGUUUCACAUUUCACUGUAAUUUAAAAUGUUUCAAAAAUGUAUUCUAAUGAAGUAAAUAAUAGAAAUCUGGGUAGCAUAUAAUCCUUGAAAUUAAGCUGUUGUGUAGAGACUGCUAAUUGACCACCAGUAUUCACUCCCAUAAUUUAAAAGUGAAACUCUCGCACAUUUUGUUUGGCUACACAGCUGCUCAGAGUCUACAUCUUCUUUUUCUUUUUUUUUUUUGAGAUGGAGUUUCACUCUUGUUGCCCAGGCUGGAGCUCAAUGGCGCGAUCUCGGCUCACUGCAACCUCCGCCUACCGGGUUCAAGCGAUUCCCCCGCCUCAGCUUCCCAAGUAGCUGGGAUUACAGGCAUGCACCACCACGCCCAGCUAAUUUUGUAUUUUUAGUAGAGACGGGGUUUCUCCAUGUUGGUCAGGCUGGUGUCGAACUCCUGACCUCAGGUGAUCUGCCCGCCUCGGCCUCCCAAAGUGCUAGGAUUACAGGCAUGAACGACCACGCCCAGCCAGAGUCUGCAUUUUCUAGCCACCUCAUUUGUAGUUAAGUUCUAGCCAAUGGGAUGUAAGUGAAAGUGAUGCAUGUGACUUUGAGAUCAUGUCCUUAAAAGUACUGGGGCUUGCAACAGGUAUAUGAAAAAAUGCUCAACAUCACUAAUCAUCAGGGGAAUGCAAAUUAAAGCCACAACGAGACAUCAUCUCAUACCUGUUAAAGUGGCCAUAAUAAAGACAAAAGAUAAGAGUUGGCGAGGGUAUGGAGAAAAGGGAAGUCUUGCACAUUGUUGGUGGGAAUGUAAAUCAGUUCAGCCAUCAUGGAAAACAGUUAUGGAGAUUCCUAAAGAAAAUAAAAAAUAGAACAACCAUAUCAUCCAGCAGUCCCAUUACUGGGUAUAAAUACAAGGGAAAUGAAAUCAGUAAUCAAAGAGAUAGCUACAUUCUUGUGUUCAUUGCAGGAUUAUUCACAAUAGCCAAGAUAAGGAAUCAAUCUAAGUGUCCAUCAAUUGGUGAAUGGAUUAAGAAAAUGUGAUAUAUAUACAUAAGGGAAUACUAUUCAGCCUUCAAAAAAGAAGGAAAUCUUGUCAUUUUUGGCUACGUGAAUGAACCUGGAGGAUAUUAUGUUAAGUGAAAUAAGCCAGGCACAGAAAGACAAAUACCACAUGAUCUCAUAAGUGGAAUCUAAAAAGUUAAAGUCAGAGAGUAGAAUGGCAGCUACCAGGAGAUGGGGGGUGGGGGGAAUUGGGAGUUAUUGGUCACGGCAUACAAAAUUUUAGGAAUAAAGUUCAACACAUCUAUUGUAGAACAUGGAGACUAUAGUUAAUAACAAUGCAGUGCCUGUAGUCCCAGCUAUUAGGAAGGCUGAGGCAGGAGGAUCACUUGAGCCCAGGAGUUCCAGGCUGCAGUGACCCCUGGUCACACCACUGCACUCCAGCCUGGCUACAGAGUGAGACCCUGACUCCAAAAACAAACAACAAUGUGUACUUGAAAAUUGCGAAGAGAGAUUUUAAGUGUUUUCACAAGUAUGUGAGGUCAUGCAUAUGUUAAUCAACUUGAUUUAGCCAUUUCACUAUACAUAUUUUGAACAGUAUGUUGUACGCCAUAAAUAUAUACAAUUUUUGUCAAUUUUAAAAAUAGAUUUUUAAAAACUACUGGAGCAUGCAUUUCCCUUGCCCUGCCUCUCCUUCUGUUGAGGUAGGAGUGAGAAUUCUGCAGCCAUUUCAGACACUGAGAGACAAGUUGUCUGUCAAGUUUGACAAAGCAGCUGUAUCGGCUGUGGACCACUCACCUCUGUAAUUUGAGAAAUAAACUUUUAUUGUGUUUAA
RNAcentral lists this long non-coding RNA (5817 nucleotides) under Homo sapiens (human). Its description in RNAcentral is "HSALNT0302776". The record is from RNAcentral. Lineage: Eukaryota; Metazoa; Chordata; Mammalia; Primates; Hominidae.